GAGCCGUUUGGGGGACGCAGUCCGGUGAAAGAUGGCCUCUUCCCUCCCGCUGCCGCCGCCGGAGGAGGCGCCCUUAAAAGGGCUUGUUUGGGAAUCUUCUCGCUGUCUCUAGAACCUGUUCUCUGGACUCUAAGGUCUAGAGUCCUCCUCUACCACUUAACUUUUUUCUCUUUCCAGGGCCAAGGGCCCCAUCUCCUACUAAGCCUCUGCGGAGGUCCCAGCGGAAAUCAGGCUCUGAACUCCCGAGCAUCCUCCCUGAAAUCUGGCCGAAGACACCCAGUGCGGCUGCAGUCAGAAAGCCCAUCGUCUUAAAGAGGAUCGUGGCCCAUGCUGUAGAGGUCCCAGCUGUCCAAUCACCUCGCAGGAGCCCUAGGUCUCUUAGGGGCAGACAAAGAGCCCACUCCAAGCUGGCCAACAAGCCAGUGGUGCAGCCUGUUGAGGAGCAAGAACCCAAGGGCCCUCAGGCUUCCGAGGAGCGGAACUUGGAGCCACCUUCCUCAGAACAACUGGAACCCACCGUCACGUUCCUGUUUACACUCCUGAACACCUCUGAGCCCACUGAG
RNAcentral lists this long non-coding RNA (563 nucleotides) under Homo sapiens (human). Its description in RNAcentral is "non-protein coding lnc-TMEM262-2:1". Lineage: Eukaryota; Metazoa; Chordata; Mammalia; Primates; Hominidae. The record is from RNAcentral.